ACGGGUGAGUAAUGUCUGGGGAUCUGCCCGAUAGAGGGGGAUAACCACUGGAAACGGUGGCUAAUACCGCAUAACGUCGCAAGACCAAAGAGGGGGACCUUCGGGCCUCUCACUAUCGGAUGAACCCAGAUGGGAUUAGCUAGUAGGCGGGGUAAUGGCCCACCUAGGCGACGAUCCCUAGCUGGUCUGAGAGGAUGACCAGCCACACUGGAACUGAGACACGGUCCAGACUCCUACGGGAGGCAGCAGUGGGGAAUAUUGCACAAUGGGCGCAAGCCUGAUGCAGCCAUGCCGCGUGUAUGAAGAAGGCCUUCGGGUUGUAAAGUACUUUCAGCGGGGAGGAAGGCGAUGUGGUUAAUAACCGUGUCGAUUGACGUUACCCGCAGAAGAAGCACCGGCUAACUCCGUGCCAGCAGCCGCGGUAAUACGGAGGGUGCAAGCGUUAAUCGGAAUUACUGGGCGUAAAGCGCACGCAGGCGGUCUGUUAAGUCAGAUGUGAAAUCCCCGGGCUUAACCUGGGAACUGCAUUUGAAACUGGCAGGCUUGAGUCUCGUAGAGGGGGGUAGAAUUCCAGGUGUA
Molecule: ribosomal RNA, 579 nt
Filed under: uncultured bacterium
Lineage: Bacteria
Description: bacterial SSU rRNA
Rfam family: Bacterial small subunit ribosomal RNA
Source: RNAcentral